RNAcentral lists this ribosomal RNA (582 nucleotides) under Haustorioides japonicus. Its description in RNAcentral is "eukaryotic LSU rRNA". It matches the Rfam family "Eukaryotic large subunit ribosomal RNA", at positions 2306 to 2805 of the family's 3401-position model. Lineage: Eukaryota; Metazoa; Arthropoda; Malacostraca; Amphipoda; Dogielinotidae. The record is from RNAcentral.
UUGACGCGCAUGAAUGGAUUAACGAGAUUCCCUCUGUCCCCAUCUACAUUCUGGUGAUCCCACACACAAGGGAACGGACUUGCAUGAACACAGCGGGGAAAGAAGACCCUGUUGAGCUUGACUCUAGUCUGAAUUUGUACGGAGACAUCGGAGGUGCAGCAUAAGUGGGAGGCGUGCGCAAGUGCGUCGACACAUGAGAUACCACUACUCCCUUCGUCUCCGUACUCUACUCGGUUUACGGGAGAGCAAAAUCGAAUGCUUAAUGGACAAUUGGGUGUGGUGAGGCUUCUCCCCGGUAUGGGAUAGUUUUGGUUAUGAGACUCGACUGGGGAGGACAGAUACAUCAAACAAAUGAAUGCAGGUGUGCUCCAAAGUGGCGAAACAUCCGAGCAAGGCAUAGUAUCUUGAGAUGAGCAAGAUGAUGCUUUAGGCUAGGGAAACAUUCGCACGUUCAGUUGCUGCUGAAGAUGUACGGACGGCGAAGAUGCUGGUGACUAACGGGCCGUUUGACAUUGCCGGCAGGCAAGGGAUGAAAAACAGGAGCAGAAAUCCACUCGCCCACCCAUCAGCGGCCAAACGAUG